RNAcentral lists this ribosomal RNA (292 nucleotides) under uncultured bacterium. RNAcentral's name for it is "partial 16S ribosomal RNA". It matches the Rfam family "Bacterial small subunit ribosomal RNA", at positions 505 to 796 of the family's 1533-position model. The record is from RNAcentral.
GUGCCAGCCGCCGCGGUAAUACGUAGGGGGCGAGCGUUGUCCGGAAUUACUGGGCGUAAAGGGCGCGUAGGCGGCCCGUUAAGUCCGCGGUGAAAGCCCGGGGCUCAACCCCGGAGGUGCCGCGGAGACUGGUGGGCUGGGGGGUCGGAGAGGAGCGGGGAAUCCCUGGUGGAGCGGUGGAAUGCGUAGAGAUCAGGGGGAACACCGAUGGCGAAGGCACCGCUCUGGCCGACGACCGACGCUGAGGCGCGAAAGCUGGGGGAGCGAACGGGAUUAGAUACCCCAGUAGUCC